RNAcentral lists this ribosomal RNA (306 nucleotides) under uncultured bacterium. Its description in RNAcentral is "bacterial SSU rRNA". It matches the Rfam family "Bacterial small subunit ribosomal RNA", at positions 332 to 655 of the family's 1533-position model. The record is from RNAcentral.
CAGACUCCUACGGGAGGCAGCAGUGGGGAAUAUUGGACAAUGGGCGCAAGCCUGAUCCAGCCAUGCCGCGUGAGUGAUGAAGGCCUUAGGGUUGUAAAGCUCUUUCAGCGGGGAAGAUAAUGACGGUACCCGCAGAAGAAGCCCCGGCUAACUUCGUGCCAGCAGCCGCGGUAAUACGAAGGGGGCUAGCGUUGUUCGGAAUUACUGGGCGUAAAGCGCGCGUAGGCGGCUUUCUAAGUCAGGGGUGAAAUCCUGGGGCUCAACCCCGGAACUGCCUUUGAUACUGCAUCUCUUGAGUCCGGGAGA